UUACGAGGUCAGGACACUGUGAGGAUUGACAGAUUGAAAGCUCUUUCUUGAUUCAGUGGGUGGUGGUGCAUGGCCGUUCUUAGUUGGUGGAGUGAUUUGUCUGGUUAAUUCCGUUAACGAACGAGACCUUAACCUGCUAAAUAGUCACGCGAACCGGUCCGCAAGGGCUCAAAGUUCGCGGCUCGACUUCUUAGAGGGGCUAUUCGCACCCGCCAGCGAAUGGAAGUUUGAGGCAAUAACAGGUCUGUGAUGCCCUUAGAUGUUCUCGGCCGCACGCGCGUUACACUGACGGAGUCAACGAGCGUUUUUCCUUGCCCGAUAGGGCUGGGUAACCUCCUGAAACUCCGUCGUGAUGGGGAUAGAUCAUUGCAAUUAUUGAUCUUGAACGAGGAAUUCCUAGUAGGCGCGAGACAUCAACUCGCGCCGAUUACGUCCCUGCCCUUUGUACACACCGCCCGUCGCUCCUACCGAUUGAACGGUCCGGCGAGAACUCCGGAUGGUC
Molecule: ribosomal RNA, 502 nt
Filed under: Vermamoeba vermiformis
Lineage: Eukaryota; Tubulinea; Echinamoebida; Vermamoebidae
Description: SSU rRNA
Rfam family: Eukaryotic small subunit ribosomal RNA
Source: RNAcentral